This 253-nucleotide ribosomal RNA is filed under the name uncultured prokaryote. Its description in RNAcentral is "partial 16S ribosomal RNA". It matches the Rfam family "Bacterial small subunit ribosomal RNA", at positions 524 to 776 of the family's 1533-position model. The record is from RNAcentral.
AACGUAGGUGGCGAGCGUUAUCCGGAUUUACUGGGCGUAAAGCGUGUGCAGGUGGGUUUACAAGUGGUGUAUGAAAUCUCUCAGCUUAACUGAGAGCGGUUAUGCCAGACUGUAAGCCUAGAGUACGAGAGAGGGACGUGGAAUUCCAGGUGUAGCGGUGAAAUGCGUAGAGAUCUGGAGGAAUACCGGUGGCGAAGGCGGCCCCCUGGACGAAGACUGACGCUCAGGUGCGAAAGCGUGGGGAGCAAACAGG